Molecule: transfer RNA, 72 nt
Filed under: Candidatus Dormiibacterota bacterium
Lineage: Bacteria; Bacillati; Candidatus Dormiibacterota
Also listed under: 2 other names
Description: tRNA-Thr
Rfam family: tRNA
About the family: Transfer RNA (tRNA) molecules are approximately 80 nucleotides in length. Their secondary structure includes four short double-helical elements and three loops (D, anti-codon, and T loops).
Source: RNAcentral
GCCGGCGUAGCUCAGUGGCAGAGCGGCUGUUUUGUAAACAGCGGGCCGUGGGUUCGAAUCCCUCCGCCGGCU